This 486-nucleotide ribosomal RNA is filed under the name uncultured bacterium. RNAcentral's name for it is "partial 16S ribosomal RNA". It matches the Rfam family "Bacterial small subunit ribosomal RNA", at positions 30 to 507 of the family's 1533-position model. The record is from RNAcentral.
AUUGAACGCUGGCGGCAUGCCUUACACAUGCCAGUCGAACGGCAGCACGGGUGCUUGCACCCGGUGGCGAGUGGCGAACGGGUGAGUAAUACAUCGGAACAUGUCCUGUAGUGGGGGAUAGCCCGGCGAAAGCCGGAUUAAUACCGCAUACGAUCUACGGAUGAAAGCGGGGGACCUUCGGGCCUCGCGCUAUAGGGUUGGCCGAUGGCUGAUUAGCUAGUUGGUGGGGUAAAGGCCUACCAAGGCGACGAUCAGUAGCUGGUCUGAGAGGACGACCAGCCACACUGGGACUGAGACACGGCCCAGACUCCUACGGGAGGCAGCAGUGGGGAAUUUUGGACAAUGGGCGAAAGCCUGAUCCAGCAAUGCCGCGUGUGUGAAGAAGGCCUUCGGGUUGUAAAGCACUUUUGUCCGGAAAGAAAUCCUUGGCCCUAAUACGGUCGGGGGAUGACGGUACCGGAAGAAUAAGCACCGGCUAACUACGUG